This 1388-nucleotide ribosomal RNA is filed under the name metagenome. RNAcentral's name for it is "SSU rRNA". It matches the Rfam family "Eukaryotic small subunit ribosomal RNA", at positions 390 to 1801 of the family's 1831-position model. The record is from RNAcentral.
GGGAGCCUGAGAAAUGGCUACCACAUCCAAGGAUGGCAGCAGGCGCGCAAAUUACCCACUCCCAGCUUGGGGAGGUAGUGACGAAAAAUAACAAUGCGGGACUCUAAGAGGCCCCGUAAUUGGAAUGAGUACACCUUAAAUCGUUUAACGAGUAUCAAUUGGAGGGCAAGUCUGGUGCCAGCAGCCGCGGUAAUUCCAGCUCCAAUAGCGUAUAUUAAAGUUGCUGCAGUUAAAAAGCUCGUAGUUGGAUCUGGGGCUUGAGGUCGCUGUCUAUCGUUUCGGCGAUGACGGUGAUGCUCAGCUCUGCUUGCCGGUGACUGUUGCGGUGUUCUUCACUGAGCGCUGUAGCAGCACGGCACGUUUACUUUGAAAAAAUUAGAGUGCUCAAAGCGUGCUUGUCGCUUGAAUAAUGUUGCAUGGAAUAAUGGAAUAGGACCUCGGUUCUAUUUUGUUGGUUUUCGGAGCUUGAGGUAAUGAUUAAGAGGGACGAACGGGGGCAUUCGUAUUGCGGUGUUAGAGGUGAAAUUCUUGGAUCGCCGCAAGACGGACUACUGCGAAAGCAUUUGCCAAGAACGCUUUCAUUAAUUAAGAACGAAAGUCAGAGGUUCGAAGACGAUCAGACACCGUCCUAGUUCUGACCAUAAACGAUGCCGACCAGCGAUCCGUAGUGGUUGCUUUAUGGACCCUACGGGCAGCCUCCGGGAAACCAAAGUAUUUGGGUUCCGGGGGAAGUAUGGUUGCAAAGCUGAAACUUAAAGGAAUUGACGGAAGGGCACACCAGGAGUGGAGCCUGCGGCUUAAUUUGACCCAACACGGGAAAACUCACCCAGUCCGGACACCGUAAGGAUUGACAGACUGAUAGCUCUUUCUUGAUUCGGUGGAUGGUGGUGCAUGGCCGUUCUUAGUUGGUGGAGUGAUUUGUCUGGUUAAUUCCGAUAACGAACGAGACUCUAGCCUGCUAAGUAGUGUUGCUAUUGUUAUAUGGUUGACACUUCUUAGAGGGACAAGUGGCAUUUAGCCACGCGAAAUUGAGCAAUAACAGGUCUGUGAUGCCCUUAGAUGUCCGGGGCCGCACGCGCGCUACACUGGAGAAGUCAGCGUGUGUUAUCCAAGUCCGAAAGGACUGGGUAAUCCGUUGAACCUUCUUCGUGCUUGGGACUGUGGCUUGGUACUAUUCCACAUGAACGAGGAAUUCCUAGUAAUUGCAAGUCAUAAGCUUGCGUUGAUUACGUCCCUGCCCUUUGUACACACCGCCCGUCGCUACUACCGAUUGAAUGGUUUAGCAAGGUCCUCGGAUCGUGGCCGUAGGGGCACGCAAGUGUUUCUGCGGUUUGCGAGAAGACGACCAAACUUGAUCAUUUAGAGGAAGUAAAAGUCGUAACAAGGUU